This 23-nucleotide non-coding RNA is filed under the name Arabidopsis thaliana (thale cress). The record is from RNAcentral. Lineage: Eukaryota; Viridiplantae; Streptophyta; Magnoliopsida; Brassicales; Brassicaceae.
UGCCACACAAAUAUUUUGCGUCA